Molecule: ribosomal RNA, 492 nt
Filed under: uncultured bacterium
Lineage: Bacteria
Description: partial 16S ribosomal RNA
Rfam family: Bacterial small subunit ribosomal RNA
Source: RNAcentral
AGUGAACGCUGGCGGUAGGCCUAACACAUGCAAGUCGAACGGCAGCACAGUAAGAGCUUGCUCUUACGGGUGGCGAGUGGCGGACGGGUGAGGAAUACAUCGGAAUCUACUUUUUCGUGGGGGAUAACGUAGGGAAACUUACGCUAAUACCGCAUACGACCUACGGGUGAAAGCAGGGGAUCUUCGGACCUUGCGCGAUUGAAUGAGCCGAUGUCGGAUUAGCUAGUUGGCGGAGUAAAGGCCCACCAAGGCGACGAUCCGUAGCUGGUCUGAGAGGAUGAUCAGCCACACGAGAACUGAGACACGGUCCAGACUCCUACGGGAGGCAGCAGUGUGGAAUAUUGGACAAUGGGCGCAAGCCUGAUCCAGCCAUACCGCGUGUGUGAAGAAGACCUUCGGUUUGUAAAGCCCUUUUGUUGGGAAAGAAAAGCAGCAGGUUAAGACCCCGCUGUUCUGACGGUACCCAAUGAAUAAGCACCGGCUAACUUCGUG